UACGAAGGGGGCUAGCGUUGCUCGGAAUUACUGGGCGUAAAGCGCACGUAGGCGGCUCUUUAAGUCAGGGGUGAAAUCCCGGAGCUCAACUCCGGAACUGCCUUUGAUACUGGCGAUCUAGAGGUCGAGAGAGGUGAGUGGAAUUCCGAGUGUAGAGGUGAAAUUCGUAGAUAUUCGGAAGAACACCAGUGGCGAAGGCGGCUCACUGGCUCGAUACUGACGCUGAGGUGCGAAAGCGUGGGGAGCAAACAGG
RNAcentral lists this ribosomal RNA (253 nucleotides) under uncultured bacterium. Its description in RNAcentral is "partial 16S ribosomal RNA". It matches the Rfam family "Bacterial small subunit ribosomal RNA", at positions 524 to 776 of the family's 1533-position model. The record is from RNAcentral.